This 400-nucleotide unclassified non-coding RNA is filed under the name soil metagenome. RNAcentral's name for it is "partial contains 5.8S ribosomal RNA, internal transcribed spacer 2, and large subunit ribosomal RNA". The stretch from base 1 to 122 matches the Rfam family "5.8S ribosomal RNA", at positions 35 to 154 of the family's 154-position model. The record is from RNAcentral.
GAUGAAGAACGCAGCGAAAUGCGAUACUUGGUGUGAAUUGCAGAAUCCCGUGAACCAUCGAGUCUUUGAACGCAAGUUGCGCCUCAAGCCAUUAGGUUGAGGGCACGUCUGCCUGGGCGUCACAUAUCGUUGCCUGAUGCCAGUUUCCUCGUGAUGGGUGACUGUGCAGGGCGAAUGAUGGCUUCCCGUGAGCAUUGUUGCCUCAUGGUUGGUUGAAAAUUGAGUCCUUGGUAGGGCGCGCCGUGAUAGAUGGUGGUUGAGUGACGAACGAGACCCAAUCAUGUGAGACCCCUACCGAAUUUGGCCUUCAUGACCCACAUGCGUCUUUGGAACGCUCAUGACGAGACCUCAGGUCAGGCGGGGCUACCCGCUGAGUUUAAGCAUAUCAAUAAGCGGAGGA